AUGCCUCGUCUCCAUGGCCGCGCCCCAGCUGCGCUUGCCAUCCGCCACCUCCUCAUUUCGUUCCUCCUCGCGCUGCUCCCGCUCGCGUCUGCGCAGCAGGAGUACGAGGCCAACGCGCAGAGCGACUGCUACGCCAACAACGGCAGCUCGGUCCUCGGCUACACCUGCAGCAGCAGCAAGAGCAACCACGCUAACUCCUCGUCGGCAUCGGCAUGCGCCACCUACCUGGCCUUCCGCUCCGAUCUGCCCGGCUACGGCACCCCAAUCACCGUCGCCUACCUCCUCAACGCCAGCGCGUCCGCCGUCGCCGCCGCCAACUCCGUGCCCAUCGCCUCCCCGGUCCAGAACGGCAGCCUGCUCCUCGUCCCCGUCCGCUGCGCCUGCAUGGCGGCGGGGCACUACCAGCACGACGCCGCCUACGCCAUCCAGUUCGGCUACGAGACCUACUUCUCCAUCGCGAGCGACGUGUACCAGGGGCUCUCCACCUGCCAGGCGAUGAUGGCGCAGAACCCCGCGCACGAUAGCCUCGAUCUGUAUCCCGGCAUCGCCCUCACCGUGCCGCUCCGCUGCGCGUGCCCUUCGCCCACGCAGGCCUCGACUGGAGUCAAGUACCUCGUGACCUACGUUCUCGACUGGGACGACGACGCGUCCACCCCACCCACACCGUCACCGUCACCGUCACCAGCACCGUCCGAUGUGGUGUCAGUCCCGCCGGCGAGUUCCACUGAAUCCAGCAGUGGUCCUACUCCAAGGUGGCGGGUCGUCGUCGGCGUUGCUGCUGGAUGCAGUGUUCUUACUUUGGGUGCCCUGCUUGCUCUGUUCUUGCUAUGCCGUUGGCGUCGGCGGCACGGCGACCGUGGUGACCGAAGCAAGACCACCCUACCGGCAGUGGAGCAUGCUGUGUCAGACGGGCCUGCGAAGGGAGCUUUGACGAGGGCGGCGUCCUUGAUGUGGCCGAUGGUGGUGCGCGAGGCAGUGGGGUCGCUGACCGUGUACGACUACGGGGAUCUAGAGAGGGCGACAUCAGGUUUCUCGGAGGAGCAGCGUAUUGGAAACUCGUCGGUCUACCGCGCGGUGAUCAACGGCAGCGCUGUGGUCGUGAAGCGAGUGCCCGGCGACGUGGGCACUGAGGUGACCAUCCUGGGGCGCGUCAACCACUCGAGCCUCAUCCGCAUGUCCGACCUGUGCAUGCACGGCGGCUACACCUACACGGUGUUCGAGUUCGCCGAGAACGGCGCGCUCAGCGACUGGCUCCACGGCGGCGAGGAGGAGGAGGAGGGCCGCGUGCUCGGGUGGAGCCAGCGCGUGCAGGUGGCGCUCGACGUGGCAGGCGGGCUCAACUACCUGCACAACUACACCGACCCUCCCUACGUGCAUAAGAACCUCAAGGCCAGCAACAUCCUCCUCGACGCAUGCUUCCGCGCCAAGCUCUCAAACUUCGGCCUCGCGCUCGCGAUCACCGAGGACGACGACCGCGGCGGCCUGUGGAUGACCCGGCACGUGGUCGGCACGCAGGGCUAUCUGGCGCCCGAGUACCUCGAGCACGGGCUGAUCGGCCCCCAGCUCGACGUGUUCGCGUUCGGCGUCCUCCUGCUUCAGCUCUUGUCCGGGAGGGAGGCGGCUAGACAAGACGACGACGGCGGCGGCAGCGGCAAGAACGGGAAGGUGGUAUUGCUUUGGGAGGAAGCGGAACGGUUGGGCCUGGGCGGCGGCGGCGGCGGCGACCUGCUGGACAAGGUGACGGCGUUCGUCGACGGCCGGCUGCAUGGGCAGUAUCCGUUGGACGUGGUGUUCGCUAUGCUCGCGUUGGCACUGAGGUGCGUGGCCCGGGAGUCCCGGACGCGGCCGUCCAUGGCCGAGGUGCUCCUCUCGCUCUCGGGGGUGUACAAUUGGACAAUAAAUUGGGACCCUCGGUGCCCUGAAGGCACCGGAACUCCUCACGAACAAUAG
RNAcentral lists this ribosomal RNA (1950 nucleotides) under Triticum aestivum (bread wheat). RNAcentral's name for it is "partial small subunit ribosomal RNA". Lineage: Eukaryota; Viridiplantae; Streptophyta; Magnoliopsida; Poales; Poaceae. The record is from RNAcentral.